RNAcentral lists this transfer RNA (77 nucleotides) under bacterium. Its description in RNAcentral is "tRNA-Pro". It matches the Rfam family "tRNA". Rfam says of the family: Transfer RNA (tRNA) molecules are approximately 80 nucleotides in length. Their secondary structure includes four short double-helical elements and three loops (D, anti-codon, and T loops). RNAcentral also lists the same sequence under 1 other name. The record is from RNAcentral.
CGGAGUGUAGCUCAGUCUGGUAGAGCGCUGCGUUCGGGUCGCAGAGGUCGUAGGUUCGAAUCCUGUCACUCCGACCA